GUAAGUAUUGAAAAAGAAGAAAUACACCUGAGCUAUCGCUAGGACGGAGACAAAGGAACGGCGGUCGUAGACGGCAGGAAGUUGAGCCGUGGCUCAACUCGUGGGGCCCCUUCCUGAUCCGUGGCUCAGGAUUCGUCGUACUGUCGUCUCCUACCUUACCCUGCUGGAUUCAAUGGGUGGGAGUUGUGGAGACACCGCCGCCGCCGCCCGAUUCAGGCGAAUCCAUUGCCGGCUAUGGAACUCCUUCUGCAGCUGAUUACUACUCCUAGAAGAUCCCCUUUGGUUGAGGAGGUGGAUGGAAGUCAUCUCUCCAUGGAUCUGCUGGAUAAAGGACGGCGACGUCUUUCAGGGCAGUGGAAGAGCCGCCGCCGGCAUCCUUUAGGGCAGACGUGCGGAACUGUCAGAAACAGGCAGGCGUGGAUGGACGACGGGAGAGCUCGGCCCAGUUGUCUGCAAAAUGGAUGCACCCUGGUGGUCAAAGAGGUUCGCUAGAAAACCAGAAAUCUAACAUUUUGCCUGUGUCUGCUUCGUUGAUAAUGCUGGGAUCAAAGUAAUCUGGGAUGAGUAGAUCUGUGACAAUUCCCUUGGGGAUGGUAGCAAUGGAAACUGGUAGAGUUUUGAGUGUAUGUCAUGCUAUUAUUCUCUGCUGCUACAAAAACUUAGCAAAUGUACAUACUGCUUGAGGGAUGCUGUGAUUAUGAAUGAUUUGAGGCAGUGCACACAUUGAUGUCUCAUUCGGCAUUAAGCAUACAGAGUCGUUAAUUUUCUCAAGUAUUCUCCUUGGAUAUAUGCUAAUGGAGUUGCUUUGUUGCUUCAUUCUCCUCUCUGAAUUCAAGAUUUGGUUCAGCAGUGCCCACAGACCUUCCAGGUUUGCAGGAUUUCUGGUGUAUGUUGUCAUGGAUUCGAUGUCACGCAGGUCCAGGGAUUUUAGAAGGGCUAUUUAGUCCACAAUAGUUCUUGAGAAUUAUUUGUCAACCUAUACCCUGUAGCAGACAAACCGGAUAGAUACUUGCGAUACGAUCAACAGAAAUUUAGAAUUACCGGUUGCUAAUGGGCACACAUGAACAAUCAAAUUCGUGUUCUUACUUCGUCCUUUUUGCAGUAUUUGAUGGAGAACAAUGAUUUCAUGGCCAUCGGAAUAAUUGGUCCACCUGGUUUGGCAUGUCAACCACCAUGAACGAGCUUUAUUGCAUUAUAUUCUUCCUUUGGAAUUAAUCUGUGUUCAUCUAAUUAAAAUACGGAUAAUUUGUUGAAGUAACAUAUGUGACCCAUCAUUUUAAACCUCAAUUAUCUUCACCAAACAAGGAAAAUAAAAUUGAUAACCUAUGAGGCAAUGAAGACAGCAUGGCCAAUCUCUGCUCUGUUUUCUGCACACAGGAAAAGUGACAAUGAACACUGGCCAAACAUAUGACCAAGAGUCCACAGGACCUAGAUCAUCGACUCUGCCCAGGCCGCUCCAGCAGUAGUGAGGAUCCCUUACAGUAUGAUAAUUGAUAUGCUAACAGAACUAGGAUUACCAAAGGUUUAAUAUCGUUAGAAAAUAUAUGACGGCAGCAAGGCCUGUGUCACUGUCUUUUGUAGCACUCCUAUGCUACUCCAUGAUAGUGAAUCUACCCGUGCAUCCAUAUCUACAGUCCUUUCCAUAGAUGAUGAUGCAGCAGAGGACACAGUUGCUAUUGAAGCUAAAGGUGCUUGGAAAACGCAACCAACACAGAGAUCGGACUACAAUGAAAAUCACAUGAAGCGCCUCCAAACCUGAAUGAGCAGCUCAUGCACCUGCUCAACAUAGUGAAUGGGAGCAAAGAAAAGCUUGCCAGGGGUUGAUUCCUUGCCGUGAGGCACAUGAGGUCCUUCUGUGAACAAAUACAAAACUUGACAUCUCUUAUGCCCAAGACGCCAUAAGAUGAGGUCAUAAACACAGCUCUAGGCAAUAUCAGUGGUAGCAUUUUAAUUCUGCACAGGGAGGCUGCUGAUGGGGGCUAACCUGGCUAUCGAGGGACAUGCUAGCAAGAUAUGCACAAGGGCAAUGUUUGGGCAUAUAUUUUAUGAGUGUGGCGCAUACCAGGUUUUAUAUGAGAAGAAGAACAGAUCAUAUCUUGCAAUACAUACGGAGGUCGAGCGCAAGGAGAAGUGGUGCAGAGUAUCAUACAAGGUCACAAUGAUGGAGGGUGGGGAUGACUUUGACUGUGAGUGUGGGCAGUUCGCCCACAUGGGUAUACUACACACCCAUGUUCUUGAGGUAUUGUUUUCCUUAAAUUAGUAUAGUUUACAGUACUAGCAAUGCAAAUGUGGAGGGUUGGUACCAAAAAAUGAACAAUGUUGUUUUCAGAAAAUGCGGGUACUAGACUUUAUCCAUGUGAAGCAGAUCCCCGAGACACACAUACUAGCAUAGCACUAGUGAAAAUCUAAAUAGUACCUACAACCUCGGAAGCUUGCUAGGUGCAAGAAUUGUGGGGUUAAGGGCCACAGGAGAAACAACUGCACAAAACCAAUGGAUCUGAGAUUAGGGGGUGUCUGAUGCUGGUGUGAAGUGCAUGGCUGCAGCAGCAGCAUCAGUUCUGACUGAUGAAAACCAAGGAGAGCAAGGGUGUAAUCUAAAGAUAUGUUGAUGUGUUUUGGGCAUUUUCUAUUUAUGUUGUACUCAUGUACUGUGUGGUACCGUCCGGCAGUGAGGCUGACUAUGGAUGUAUCUAUGCAGUGCAUUUCCAGGAUCAGGUGUUUCGAUGUAGAAUUAUUGUUAUUUUCACGUGA
Molecule: RNA transcript, 2751 nt
Organism: Triticum aestivum (bread wheat)
Lineage: Eukaryota; Viridiplantae; Streptophyta; Magnoliopsida; Poales; Poaceae
Exons: 6
Source: RefSeq, a predicted model, not a curated record